Molecule: small nucleolar RNA, 125 nt
Organism: Betta splendens (Siamese fighting fish)
Lineage: Eukaryota; Metazoa; Chordata; Actinopteri; Anabantiformes; Osphronemidae
Gene: SNORA71
Rfam family: Small nucleolar RNA SNORA71
About the family: The members of this family belong to the H/ACA class of snoRNAs which bind a number of proteins (including dyskerin, Gar1p and Nop10p) to form snoRNP complexes.
Source: Ensembl
CCCUGUAUAGAAAAUGAUCACGGUGUGUCUGUCGCCGGAUCAUCGAUGGUACAGGAAGAUGAACGUGUGGGCCUUUCCCGUGUCUGAAGGAACCUAUUCCUCUCAGACCCUGGUGCUCUCAGACA